This 573-nucleotide ribosomal RNA is filed under the name Polystigma sp. RNAcentral's name for it is "eukaryotic LSU rRNA". It matches the Rfam family "Eukaryotic large subunit ribosomal RNA", at positions 87 to 680 of the family's 3401-position model. Lineage: Eukaryota; Fungi; Ascomycota; Sordariomycetes; Phyllachorales; Phyllachoraceae. The record is from RNAcentral.
CGGCGAGUGAAGCGGCAACAGCUCAAAUUUGAAAUCUGCCUGCAUGGGCCGAGUUGUAAUUUGCAGAGGAUGCUUUUGGCGCGGCGCCGGCUGAGUCCCCUGGAACGGGGCGCCAAAGAGGGUGAGAGCCCCGUAUAGCCGGACGCCUAGCCUGUGUAAAGCUCCUUCAACGAGUCGAGUAGUUUGGGAAUGCUGCUCUAAAUGGGAGGUAAAUUCCUUCUAAAGCUAAAUAUCUGCCAGAGACCGAUAGCGCACAAGUAGAGUGAUCGAAAGAUGAAAAGCACUUUGGAAAGAGAGUCAAACAGCACGUGAAAUUGUUGAAAGGGAAGCGCUCGUGACCAGACUUGCGCCGGGUCGAUUUCCCGUCGUUUUCGGCGGUGUACUCGGCCCGGCUCAGGCCAGCAUCGGUUUCUGCAGGGGGAUAAAAUCCCCGGGAAUGUGACUCCUUUGGGAGUGUUAUAGCCCGGGGCAUAAUACCCCUGCCGGGACCGAGGACCGCGCUCUCGCGAGGAUCGUCCUGGCGUCAAUGGUUAUUAGCGACCCGUCUUGAACCACGGACCACGAUUCAUAGCG